This 328-nucleotide unclassified non-coding RNA is filed under the name soil metagenome. Its description in RNAcentral is "partial contains 5.8S ribosomal RNA, internal transcribed spacer 2, and large subunit ribosomal RNA". The stretch from base 1 to 119 matches the Rfam family "5.8S ribosomal RNA", at positions 35 to 154 of the family's 154-position model. The record is from RNAcentral.
GAUGAAGAACGCAGCGAAAUGCGAUAAGUAUGUGAAUUGCAGAAUUCAGUGAAUCAUCGAAUCUUUGAACGCACAUUGCGCCCCUUGGUAUUCCGAGGGGCAUGCCUGUUCGAGCGUCAUUAUAACCCCUCAAGCUCAGCUUGGUGUUGGGGCCUGCUGCACUGGCAGCCCUUAAAAUCAGUGGCGGCGCCAUCUGGCUCUAAGCGUAGUAAUUCUUCUCGCUAUGGAGUCCUGGUGGAUGCUUGCCAUCAACCCCCAAUUUUUCUAUGGUUGACCUCGGAUCAGGUAGGGAUACCCGCUGAACUUAAGCAUAUCAAUAAGCGGAGGA